Molecule: long non-coding RNA, 884 nt
Filed under: Equus asinus (donkey)
Lineage: Eukaryota; Metazoa; Chordata; Mammalia; Perissodactyla; Equidae
Description: lncRNA (ENSEASG00005023989.1)
Source: RNAcentral
UAUAAAAUAAAUAAAAGCCACAAAGCCACGUUUAUUGACUCGCCAGGCGAGGAAACACGCACAAGUGAAGAAAUUCACUGAAUAGUCAGCCGAGGAGGGAGAGUCGGGGAUGUUUAAUCUUGGAGAGGGGCUCACAAUGAUUAAGGCUCGAAAACCAGCACUCCAGAAAUUAAUCUAAAGGUCUGUACCUGGUUGGUUCAAACAAAUCCAUCGUUCAUUGUUGAGGAAAGAGUCUUUAGUUGAGUCCAGUGGGGGUUUGGCGUUUGGGUCCACUUCAGCUGCUUAGAAUCAGUUAUGAUGAAACACAAUAUUUAAUUGUGAUAUCUCCUAGGGCAUGUGUUGCUAUAAGUGGAAAUUUUUCCUGUUUCAAUUCCCGCCUGCUCCUCCUCAAUGGAAGCUCCGUAUAUGACACGUAUGAGCAUAAGAAUGGUGUCAAACCUGCCCAGGAUACCAGAAAUUUCUGUGAAUUUGGAUGAUGAGGAUUAACCAGAGUGUUUCUCUUCACCCCACAACACCUGCUCCUGAAAAGGAAGCAUUUGUUCCUUGCAUGCAAAUCAUUUUGUAUUAAAGAGGCAUCUAAUGAGCAUCGGAUGAAAGUCCCCUGGAGCAGGUUGCAUUUCCUUCUUCUUGAAGUACAACCGCAGUAUUUCAUUCUCGGAAAGUAAAGAAUGUCCAGGAAGAAAUCGCCACUGUUUUUCUGCCACACUCACUUACGAACAUUAACAUCUGGGCUGAUCUGAGAAGUGAUGCCAUGGACGUCGCACUCCAACUUUCCCAUCCUUUCUUCCUGAACCAUGAGCGCGGGCGGGCAUCAGCCCUGCCUGUGCGCUGCUCAGCCUGGGCGGACACGCUUCUCAAUCCCAGCCAGCUGCUCCUUGCAUCUG